AAAAAGGGUACUUGUUACUGGAUAGCACAUGAGCUCUUAUGGGCUUGUGGGGUAUGGUAAUCAAGACAUACCCAGCUAGUCCA
Molecule: small nuclear RNA, 83 nt
Organism: Diabrotica virgifera virgifera (western corn rootworm)
Lineage: Eukaryota; Metazoa; Arthropoda; Insecta; Coleoptera; Chrysomelidae
Product: U11 spliceosomal RNA
Exons: 1
Source: RefSeq, a predicted model, not a curated record